Molecule: ribosomal RNA, 501 nt
Filed under: Triticum aestivum (bread wheat)
Lineage: Eukaryota; Viridiplantae; Streptophyta; Magnoliopsida; Poales; Poaceae
Description: partial small subunit ribosomal RNA
Source: RNAcentral
AUGAGCAAGGUGGGUGGCCAAAUCACUUGCAGUUCAUGCAAUAGGACAGGCCAUAACAUGAAAAGUUGCACAAAUAAUGCUGCUGCAACUAAGCAUCAUGGAAAUGCACAUAUUGUCAGAGAAAGGUCUAGGAAAAGGAAACUACAGAAAGAAGCCUAUGAGGCAGAAACUUCAAAGAAAUCAAAGGCUGAAGAAGUUGCAAGGCAGAGCAAGGGAAAGGCUGUAGCUCAAGACCUACAAGUGCACGAGUGCAAACGACCUACAGGCAUUCAAAUUAGGGAGCCAAAUUCACAACCGAGCUCAUUGCCUGUGUCACAACCAAGCUCGCUGAAAUAUGAUAAGAAUGCUCCAGGCAGCAAGGCUAGAUCAGCAAAGGUUCAGAGAAGUGCUGCUACUCCAUUUGUUCCACCUAAACAAGUUACAAAUUUGCCACAACAUUGUGUCUUCAAUUUGGCUGGAUACAAAGAAGCUAAGAAAGGCAGAGCAGGUCCUCCAGUUUGA